RNAcentral lists this ribosomal RNA (418 nucleotides) under uncultured bacterium. RNAcentral's name for it is "bacterial SSU rRNA". It matches the Rfam family "Bacterial small subunit ribosomal RNA", at positions 364 to 774 of the family's 1533-position model. The record is from RNAcentral.
UUGGACAAUGGGGGCAACCCUGAUCCAGCCAUGCCGCGUGAGUGAAGAAGGCCCUCGGGUUGUAAAGCUCUUUUGUCCGGAAAGAAAAGCUUCGGGUUAAUACCCCGGUGUUCUGACGGUACCGGAAGAAUAAGCACCGGCUAACUUCGUGCCAGCAGCCGCGGUAAUACGAAGGGUGCAAGCGUUACUCGGAAUUACUGGGCGUAAAGCGUGCGUAGGUGGUUGUUUAAGGCUGAUGUGAAAGCCCUUGGCUCAACCUGGGAAUGGCAUUGGAAACUGGGCAGCUAGAGGCCGGUAGAGGGUAGUGGAAUGCCCGGUGUAGCAGUGAAAUGCGUAGAGAUCGGGAGGAACAUCUGUGGCGAAGGCGACUGCCUGGACCAGCACUGACACUGAGGCACGAAAGCGUGGGGAGCAAACA